RNAcentral lists this ribosomal RNA (253 nucleotides) under uncultured bacterium. RNAcentral's name for it is "partial 16S ribosomal RNA". It matches the Rfam family "Bacterial small subunit ribosomal RNA", at positions 524 to 776 of the family's 1533-position model. The record is from RNAcentral.
UACGUAGGGGGCAAGCGUUGUCCGGAAUCAUUGGGCGUAAAGCGCGUGUAGGCGGCCACGUUAGUCCGUUCUGAAAGCCCUGGGCUCAACCCCGGGAGGCGGAUGGAUACUGCGUGGCUCGAGUCCGGAAGAGGCGAGUGGAAUUCCUGGUGUAGCGGUGAAAUGCGCAGAUAUCAGGAGGAACACCAAUGGCGAAGGCAGCUCGCUGGGACGGGACUGACGCUGAGACGCGAAAGCGUGGGGAGCAAACAGG